GACCACUAAAUUCUUUACAGACGGUUUGAUAAAAGAUUCCAGGGGGGACAGGUCCGAGACGGGGUUGUGUCUGUCUCCAUUUGGUCCAAAAAGAAUGACUUCUGUUUUGUUUCAUCAAAGACAUCAAAGACAUCCAGUCUUUGAUGUCUUUAAGACAAGCAAGCAAUGUGCUCAAAGAGUUUGGGUCUUUCUUUUUUAAGAGCAGGUAAAGUUGUGUGUGUCAUCUACGUAAAAAUGGAAGGAUAUUCCAUAUUUCCUAAGAAUAGACCCUAGGGGAAGCAUGUAUAAAGAAAAGAAAAUUGGACCAAGUAUAGAGCCUUGAUGUACUCCACAAGGGAGAGGGGCUGAGGAGGAUGUAAAAUCACCAAGGCUAACAGAGACGCUACGAUCAGUCAGGACCAGUUGUCCUCAUGGAGACUAAAACCUGGUCCUAAUGAGGCAAAACCUACUUUCUGAGGAACUGGUAAAGAUCUGGGCUAAGAGUUGUGGUGAGGUUAAGGGAUCCGUGCCAGGGAGCGGGAGUACAGGGCCUCCCAGCGCUCCGCCGUCCGGUUCAGGCCCGGAGCGACCCCCGCGAGUCCGGUCACCAGGCCCAAGAUGACAAGAGUCCGCAGGGCCGACAGAGAGCCCAUCCCGGG
Molecule: long non-coding RNA, 638 nt
Organism: Solea solea (common sole)
Lineage: Eukaryota; Metazoa; Chordata; Actinopteri; Pleuronectiformes; Soleidae
Exons: 3
Source: RefSeq, a predicted model, not a curated record